AUGUCCAUCCAUGUCCCCAAUGUGUCCCCAUCCCAAGACGUCCGUCCGUGUGUCCCACAUGCUCCUGCCCCCAAGGUGUCCGUGUGUCCUACACAGCUUUGUCCCCAAGAUGUCCAUCCAUGUGCCCUACGUGUCCCAUGUCAUCCUGUCCCCAGGAUGCCAUCCACGUGUCCCCGUGUCCCUGUCCCCAAGAUGUCCUUUUAUGGGUCCCACACUGCCUUGUCCCCAAGGUGUCUGUGUGUCCCCGUCCCCAAGAUGCCCAUAGGUGUCCACACAGCUUUGUCCCCAGGAUGCCAUCCAGUGUCCCCCGUGUCCCUGUCCCCAAGACAUCCAUCCAUGUGUCCCACGUGUCCCUGUCCCCAAGACAUCCAUCCAUGUGUCCCACGUGUCCCUGUCCCCAAGAUGUCCCUCUAUGGGUCCCACACUGCCUUGUCCCCAAGGUGUCCGUGUGUCCUCUGUGUCCCUGUCCCCAAGAUGUCCUUUUAUGGGUCCCACACAGCUUUGUCCCCAAGGUGUCUGUGUGUCCCUGUCCCCAG
This 536-nucleotide long non-coding RNA is filed under the name Meleagris gallopavo (turkey). RNAcentral describes it as "lncRNA (ENSMGAG00000020448.1)". Lineage: Eukaryota; Metazoa; Chordata; Aves; Galliformes; Phasianidae. The record is from RNAcentral.